AGGGUAUAGGGGUUUAUACCCCCUCAGCGGACGCCCUAGGAUCAAGGGCGGGUGCCCCGGCCUCGGGCCCGUCUCGGCUCCGCUUCGGUCGAGUUGCUUCUAGAAUCUUCCUGAUUAUGGAAAAUUACCGCACACAUUAAUUCUCUAUGUAAACCCGACGUGUGGGCCUUUCCUUCGUAUUUCCUGAUAACCCCCUGUAGAAAUAGACAAACACCAAAACUCGUAGAAAUCUGUCAGAUGAAACCCUAAGUCUAGGUGUUAGUUGCAUUUGGAUCCUUUUUCAUGAUUAGUUGACGGUUAAAUGUGAGCAUUAAGGACCGUCAACAAGCUCCCCCAAGCUUAACAUUUGCUCGUCCCUGAGCAAAGAUGGACUCAUGAGUUUCUGCAGUGGUUUCAUGCUUAAAGGUACACAUGCGUUCAAACAAGAUCUCAUCUCUAGGUUAGGGUAAACUGUUAAGAUUUAAACUUACUCAUUUUACCUUCCACUAUGGGGCUUGCAACCGUCACUUAUGUAUUGAGCAGUUAAAAGAUAGAACGGUCUAGUCAAGCGCCAUGUCUCUUGUUCUUCGAUUAACUAUAGCUCUGGAGUUUUUGUAGAUUUUCAAAUAAAACUCAGAGAUUCCUUGUAUGACUCUCUUUAGUCUCUCUUUUGUGGUAUUUCUGGAUCCUUAUCAAGGCAGUAAUGGUGUAUGCCUUCUCUCAAAGUAUGUGGUCUUUUUGGUAUGAGGCAUAGUGGUAUUGCCUUCUCUCUCACCCUACUCUAAUAAGGUUUUGACAUCUGGAGCUCAUAGGUGGGAGACAGCUAAUACAUACUUACAAGACACUUAUUGCAUAGUCAAACCAUGGAUCUAGAAGAACAAGUCAAUAAGUCAAAUCAAGAUGUGCAUGUGUGGCGAAUGAAUUGUGAUAAUGGUGAAAGUCUAAUUCUAAUUUUGCUCUUUUGAGGAGGUACAUACCUUUCUUGCACUUGAGGCUUUUGAGGGGAAUGAGACGCUCUAUAUUUUAUUUUUCUUUUCUCUCAGGUGGGUAUCUUGUACCCCUAAUUCUACUGUCGCACACUUGUCCAUUUUUACCUCUCGUCUCACUUUUUCUUUUUCUUUUUUUCUUCUUUUUUUUGAGGUUUCGGGCACUUGCCCCUUUUUAUUUUCUCGUAUUCACACUUUUUUUCCUUUCAGAGCACUCACCCUUCUGGAAUAAUGUAGCAAGUGGUAGUAACCAAAAUAUCUCGAGCAUUUAUUUCACGGGGAAUAACAGGGAUAGGAUAAUGUUUUUGGCUAUUCUCUCCUAGAUAGGAGUAGAAUAAUUUUGGAUGAAUCUGGAUAUAGAAAUGAGUGGAUGUAUGUGGAUGCGUACUUCUGGAGUAGAAGCAGCAUGUAUGAGUGAACGUGCAAGUGAAUCUUGAUUUUAACCGCAUGACAAGCUCCUAAGGGUCUACACAGCUUGACCACACCCAAUGCUCAUAAGUAGUAAAAAGUAAAUGUAUGGUUCAUAGUUUAAUAAGCUUGUAUAUAUGGCUGUGGUAGGAUUUUAAACUCUCAUCAUACAGGAACUCAUCAUGCAACGUUUUAAAGAUUUUCAAAGAUAAAAUUCUCCAGAAUUCUAGCAUCUCUAGGAAUAGAUAAACAGCAGCUCAACCUUCCCAUAUCAUAUCUGUUAACGACUUAGACUUUUGAUCAGGUACUCUUCCCGCAAAUUCAGAUUUAGAGCAAGCUUUAAAUUAUAACAGUUAUGUCUAAACUUGAGAGAGAGCUCAAAUUUGAAAACUAGGUACUUGGCAGAGCAACUAUUCAUCAUAUCCAUGUAAAAGUUUAUCAUUGAAGUUCAGUUUGGCAUAGACACUUUAUUUAUUUAUUUAGCAAACUAAGCAAAGAUAUAUAUAAGCACAAAAUGUUUAAUUGGGUUUUUAUGAUUAUGUAUUUUUUUAUUAUUUGAGUAAAGUAUAAAUGUGAGUAGAAACACUUAACUGGAUAAAUGGGGGUGCUCUCCCCCAAGCUGGAUUUUAACGUAAUUUCUUCUCAUGUAGCUAGCAGGUGGCGUAGGUGUAUUUAAAUGUUGGCAGCACCUGAUAGCGAUUAGGAUAUCCUCCGUCUGCUUGUCUUCCUUGAUCCUUGAAUUCUAUGGAGCUCAAAUAGACAACAAAGCUUUGUGGAACUGGUUAAGUGUUAGCAUAAAAUCUCUUAGCCUUUAUCAUGUUGAGCUUCCUCUAAUAAAUAUUACUCUCUUUAGUAGGAUCAUAAAUUUAUUUUUAUAUUUUCAUUUUUACAGGACAAGAAUAUAUUUAUUUUAUUUUUACGCCACCAUAGUGAAUGAGUUUUAUGCCACGAGCAUACUCACAUGGGGCUUACUGUUUUUAACAUUUUUAUUUUCUUUUCAAGAUAGCAUGAUUAACUAACAAGCUAUUUAAGGAAAGUAAAUAAUUUAAGAAAAAAAGGGAAUGCAGAAAGGAUAAAUAUGGAUAACUACCGAUUUUACCUUUCGGCGAGGGUUCAAUGUUUUAAGUCUUCUGAACAAGACUUCUCACCGUGUUCAUUUGAGUUAGGUGUGUCAUUUGAGUUAGGUGUGGACCUUGACAUCUGCACCUCUUGAUAUGAUGUCAUCCAAGUUUUUCGUUUGCCCGGCAGUUCGAAGUGCGGCGUUGGCAGCAUCCUCCUCAGUGUGUUUGUGCUCGUAGAUCUAGGUCCUUCACUUGGUAGAGUCUGGGAGUUGGAAAACUCCUCCAUGUUUUGCUCGAAGUGUAUCCUGCUCAUAGAGACAAGCCAGAGAUCAAGUGCAUGGGCCCUGUUGGUGGAAAACACCAACAGAACCAAAAGUGUAUUUGUUCUUCUCUAACCUUAAGCAUAGUGAGCAAGACAAAGUUGAUGGAUGACAAGAUGAUGAGUGUAGCAUUUAAAACAUUUGUCAGAUCAGAUCACUCAACCUUAUGGAAAGAUAAUCUAUCUAAGUAAAUGUUUUUUUCUUUACAUGACUAUCAUUUUUCAAAGAUCGGAUGUGCAACAUUUUAGCUCAUAUGGUUA
RNAcentral lists this long non-coding RNA (3014 nucleotides) under Sorghum bicolor (sorghum). RNAcentral's name for it is "long non-coding RNA (SBIC_LNC018130)". The record is from RNAcentral. Lineage: Eukaryota; Viridiplantae; Streptophyta; Magnoliopsida; Poales; Poaceae.